AUGAACGCUGGCGGCGUGCCUAAUACAUGCAAGUCGAGCGAACAGACGAGGAGCUUGCUCCUCUGACGUAGCGGCGGACGGGUGAGUAACACGUGGAUAACCUACCUAUAAGACUGGGAUAACUUCGGGAAACCGGAGCUAAUACCGGAUAAUAUAUUUAACCGCAUGGUUCAAUAGUGAAAGACGGUUUUGCUGUCACUUAUAGAUGGAUCCGCGCCGCAUUAGCUAGUUGGUAAGGUAACGGCUUACCAAGGCAACGAUGCGUAGCCGACCUGAGAGGGUGAUCGGCCACACUGGAACUGAGACACGGUCCAGACUCCUACGGGAGGCAGCAGUAGGGAAUCUUCCGCAAUGGGCGAAAGCCUGACGGAGCAACGCCGCGUGAGUGAUGAAGGUCUUCGGAUCGUAAAACUCUGUUAUUAGGGAAGAACAAAUGUGUAAGUAACUAUGCACGUCUUGACGGUACCUAAUCAGAAAGCCACGGCUAACUACGUG
RNAcentral lists this ribosomal RNA (495 nucleotides) under uncultured bacterium. Its description in RNAcentral is "partial 16S ribosomal RNA". It matches the Rfam family "Bacterial small subunit ribosomal RNA", at positions 29 to 507 of the family's 1533-position model. The record is from RNAcentral.